GCCUCCGUAGCUCAGGGGAUAGAGCACCGCUCUCCUAAAGCGGGUGUCGGCAGUUCGAAUCUGCCCGGGGGCACAA
RNAcentral lists this transfer RNA (76 nucleotides) under Streptomyces cinnamoneus. RNAcentral's name for it is "tRNA-Arg". It matches the Rfam family "tRNA". Rfam says of the family: Transfer RNA (tRNA) molecules are approximately 80 nucleotides in length. Their secondary structure includes four short double-helical elements and three loops (D, anti-codon, and T loops). The record is from RNAcentral. Lineage: Bacteria; Bacillati; Actinomycetota; Actinomycetes; Kitasatosporales; Streptomycetaceae.